AGUGAACGCUGGCGGUAGGCCUAACACAUGCAAGUCGAACGGCAGCACAGUAAGAUCUUGCUCUUACGGGUGGCGAGUGGCGGACGGGUGAGGAAUACAUCGGAAUCUACUUUUUCGUGGGGGAUAACGUAGGGAAACUUACGCUAAUACCGCAUACGACCUACGGGUGAAAGCAGGAGAUCUUCGGACCUUGCGCGUUUGAAUGAGCCGAUGUCGGAUUAGCUAGUUGGCGUGGUAAAGGCCCACCAAGGCAACGAUCCGUAGCUGGUCUGAGAGGAUGAUCAGCCACACUGGAACUGAGACACGGUCCAGACUCCUACGGGAGGCAGCAGUGGGGAAUAUUGGACAAAGGGCGCAAGCCUGAUCCAGCCAUACCGCGUGGGUGAAGAAGGCCUUCGGGUUGUAAAACCCUUUUGUUGGGAAAGAAAAGCAGCAGGUUAAAACCCCGCUGUUCUGACGGUACCCAAAGAAUAAGCACCGGCUAACUUCGUG
RNAcentral lists this ribosomal RNA (492 nucleotides) under uncultured bacterium. RNAcentral describes it as "partial 16S ribosomal RNA". It matches the Rfam family "Bacterial small subunit ribosomal RNA", at positions 29 to 507 of the family's 1533-position model. The record is from RNAcentral.